GAACGAUCGGCCACCUGAGAACUGGAGUGUGCUGUCAAUUGACCGCCCAGAAGCUGCGGUUAACCGCAGCUUAAUUGACGAAUGCUGGGUGGCCUUUGUUCGUUUGCCGAAACACGUGGCAGCGGCCAUUUUAACUCCUGAACGGCCAGCGGUGUUGAGCGCCCAAACUAUGGAACUGGAAACGGACACUUAUUUGCGCGAACACCGCUGAGCCGCCAGCCUCCUUACCUCUGCAUUCGGUAGUGGAACCAAAUGACUGUUCAUUCGGUAGUUUAACCGUAUGAAC
Non-coding RNA from Pelobates cultripes (western spadefoot toad), 286 nucleotides. Lineage: Eukaryota; Metazoa; Chordata; Amphibia; Anura; Pelobatidae. The record is from the annotation of a GenBank genome assembly.